GGAAUUGACGGGGACCCGCACAAGCAGCGGAGCGUGUGGUUUAAUUCGUUGCUACACGAAGAACCUUACCUGGGUUUGACAUAUAGGUUGUAGGGAACUGAAAAGGGACCGACCCUUCGGGGAGCCUAUACAGGUGUUGCAUGGCUGUCGUCAGCUCGUGUCGUGAGAUGUUCGGUUAAGUCCGCUAACGAGCGCAACCCUCGUCGUAUGUUAUAUGUGUCAUACGAGACUGCCGGUAAAAGCCGGAGGAAGGUGAGGAUGAUGUCAAGUCAGCAUGACCUUUAUAUCCAGGGCUACACACACGCUACAAUGGUCUGUACAAUGGGUAGCCAAGCCGCGAGGCGGAGCCAAUCCUGAAAGCAGGCCUCAGUUCAGGUUGCAGUCUGCAACUCGACUGCAUGAAGCCGGAGUUGCUAGUAACCGCAGGUCAGCAAUACUGCGGUGAAUACGUUCCCGGGUCUU
RNAcentral lists this ribosomal RNA (462 nucleotides) under uncultured Anaerolineaceae bacterium. Its description in RNAcentral is "bacterial SSU rRNA". It matches the Rfam family "Bacterial small subunit ribosomal RNA", at positions 906 to 1382 of the family's 1533-position model. Lineage: Bacteria; Bacillati; Chloroflexota; Anaerolineae; Anaerolineales; Anaerolineaceae. The record is from RNAcentral.